This 485-nucleotide ribosomal RNA is filed under the name uncultured bacterium. RNAcentral describes it as "partial 16S ribosomal RNA". It matches the Rfam family "Bacterial small subunit ribosomal RNA", at positions 28 to 507 of the family's 1533-position model. The record is from RNAcentral.
GAUGAACGCUAGCUACAGGCUUAACACAUGCCAGUCGAGGGGCAGCAUGACCUAGCAAUAGGUUGAUGGCGACCGGCGCACGGGUGAGUAACACGUAUCCAACCUGCCGAUUAUUCCGGGAUAGCCUUUCGAAAGAAAGAUUAAUACUGGAUAGCAUAACGAGAAGGCAUCUUCUUGUUAUUAAAGAAUUUCGAUAAUCGAUGGGGAUGCGUUCCAUUAGUUUGUUGGCGGGGUAGCGGCCCACCAAGACAUCGAUGGAUAGGGGUUCUGAGAGGAAGGUCCCCCACAUUGGAACUGAGACACGGUCCAAACUCCUACGGGAGGCAGCAGUGAGGAAUAUUGGUCAAUGGACGAGAGUCUGAACCAGCCAAGUAGCGUGAAGGAUGACUGCCCUAUGGGUUGUAAACUUCUUUUAUAUGGGAAUAAAGUGGGCCACGUGUGGCUUUUUGUAUGUACCAUACGAAUAAGGAUCGGCUAACUCCGUG